UACGUAGGGGGCGAGCGUUGUCCGGAUUCAUUGGGCGUAAAGCGCGCGUAGGCGGCUCCGCAAGUCGGCCGUGAAAUCUCCGGGCUCAACUCGGAGGGGUCGGGCGAGACUGCGAGGCUCGAGGUGGGCAGAGGGCGGUGGAAUUCCGGGUGUAGUGGUGGAAUGCGUAGAGAUCCGGAGGAACACCAGUGGCGAAGGCGGCUGCCUGGGCCUGGCCUGACGCUGAGGCGCGAAAGCGUGGGGAGCAAACAGG
Molecule: ribosomal RNA, 253 nt
Filed under: uncultured bacterium
Lineage: Bacteria
Description: partial 16S ribosomal RNA
Rfam family: Bacterial small subunit ribosomal RNA
Source: RNAcentral